UAUCAAAAAAAUUCAUCCAUUCUUAUUGUUUAAAAUUGGCAUGGCUGACCAGAAAGUUAUAUAUGACAUGUCGUAUGUACCUCAUUCUGACGUACAAGAACCAAUUUUUAAUAGUAAAAAUAGAUGAAAUUUUUUACU
Molecule: non-coding RNA, 138 nt
Organism: Gossypium arboreum
Lineage: Eukaryota; Viridiplantae; Streptophyta; Magnoliopsida; Malvales; Malvaceae
Source: Rfam